RNAcentral lists this long non-coding RNA (509 nucleotides) under Homo sapiens (human). Its description in RNAcentral is "non-protein coding lnc-OR2V1-1:1". Lineage: Eukaryota; Metazoa; Chordata; Mammalia; Primates; Hominidae. The record is from RNAcentral.
UGCUGGGAAGUGUGCAGGAGGUGUUGGGGGCUGGAGAGAUGGUGGAGGAACACUACAGGCUGGGGAGAUGGUGGAGGAGGUGUUGGGGGCUGGAGAGAUGGUGGAGGAACACUACAGGCUGGGGAGAUGGUGGAGGAGGUGUUGGGGGCUGGGGAGAUGGUGGAGGAGGUGUUGGGGGCUGGGGAGAUGGUGGAGGAGGUGUUGGAGGCUGGGGAGAUGGUGGAGGAGGUGUUGGGGGCUGGGGAGAUGGUGGAGGAGGUGUUGGGGGCUGGGGAGAUGGUGGAGGAGGUGUUGGGGGCUGGGGAGAUGGUGGAGGAACACUACAGGCUGGGGAGAUGGUGGAGGAGGUGUUGGGGGCUGGGGAGAUGGUGGAGGAGGUGUUGGAGGCUGGGGAGAUGGUGGAGGAGGUGUUGAGGGCUGGAGAGAUGGUGGAGGAGGUGUCGGGGGCUGGGGAGAUGGUGGAGGAACAUCACUACAGGCUGGGUAAUGCUCGGGGUAGUGGCUCUUUA